Molecule: ribosomal RNA, 422 nt
Filed under: uncultured bacterium
Lineage: Bacteria
Description: bacterial SSU rRNA
Rfam family: Bacterial small subunit ribosomal RNA
Source: RNAcentral
UGGAACUGAGACACGGUCCAGACACCUACGGGUGGCAGCAGUCGAGAAUCAUUCACAAUGGGGGCAACCCUGAUGGUGCGACGCCGCGUGGGGGAUAAGGUCUUCGGAUUGUAAACCCCUGUCAUGUGGGACAUUAAAAAGAUAGUACCACAAGAGGAAGAGACGGCUAACUCUGUGCCAGCAGCCGCGGUAAUACAGAGGUCUCAAGCGUUGUUCGGAAUCACUGGGCGUAAAGCGUGCGUAGGCUGUUUCGUAAGUCGUGUGUGAAAGGCAGGGGCUCAACCCCUGGAUUGCACAUGAUACUGCGAGACUAGAGUAAUGGAGGGGGAACCGGAAUUCUCGGUGUAGCAGUGAAAUGCGUAGAUAUCGAGAGGAACACUCGUGGCGAAGGCGGGUUCCUGGACAUUAACUGACGCUGAGGC